CUGCAUCCAAAUAGCUUGAAGCUUGGGCAAACUAAUUUUGUACACUAACCUGUUGCUUCUCUGCCUCUGAAAUGGAGCCUGGUAGAGGGGAGAGCUGGGGACUGACUGAAGAAAUGGAGAAGGCCAUGCUUGAUUCUGCAGAACAUGGCAGGAACCUGGAUGACAGGAUCAAUCUUCCUGUAAGUGAUGAAACAGUGAAAGGAAGUGGGAAAUUAUCCAGAGACAUGCCGUAAUCCUUUUGACCUCAAAGGAACAUCUAAUUCAAAACUAUGUUAAAUCCAUUCUCCAAGAACAGCUGUCACCACAGAGCUGCAAAACUUGUUAGGUACAAUCUACCAGUGCUUUGACAGAAUGCCCAGGUGGAAGUCAAUAAAACAAGGUCCUCCCUUUCCCUUGAGAUUAAUAUACUCUAGAGAGUCAAGCUUCUCUGGAAGCUUGGCCCAGGUCUACCAGGCUGCCUUUCCUGGAGUCUCCUCACAGCAGUUUGGUGAUACCAUUUUCUUCUAAGGCUGUACCAUGUUCCCUAAUGGAUCUGAUCAAUUCCUAAAACAAGAAGAAUGCAUUUUUAAUGAGUUUUCUUCAUUAACUUGAUAGCUGUUGGGGGCCAAAUUGUGCUCCCUCCUAAAUUCAUAUGUUGAGGCCCUGACCCCUAGUAUGUGACCUCAGAAUGUGACUCUAUUUGGAGAAAGGGCCUUGAAAGAGAUGAUUAAGGUUAAAUGGGGUCAUAAGGGUGAGGGAUAAUCCAAUAUGACUGGUGUCUUUAUAGAAGAGAUUAGGGCCAGGCACAGUGGCUCAACCCAGCAUUUUGGGAGGCCAAGGAGUGAGAUCACUUGAGCCCAGGAGUAUGAGACCAGCCUGGAUAACGUAGCGAGACUCUGUCACUACAAAAAAUUAAAAAAUAAAGAAAUUAGCUAAGGUGGUGUCAUACCCCUGUGGUCCCAGCUACACAGAAGGCUGAGGUGGGAGGUUCACUUGAGCCCAGGAGAUCAAGGCUGCAGAGAGCUGAGAUCACACCACUGCACCCAAACCCGGGUGACAGAGACAGAUCCUGACUCAAAACCAAAAACAAAAACAACAAAAAAAGAGAAGGAGACUAAGGCACAGACACCCACAGACUAAGGGACAACUAUGUGGGAGGAUGAGGUGAGAACGUGGCCAUCUACAAGCCAAGGAGCAAGACCUCAGGAAAAAUCAACCUUACCAGUACCUCAGUCUUGGACCUCCAGCCUCCAAAACUGUGAGAAAAUAAAUUUCUAUUGUUUAAGCUACCCAGUAGUAUUUUGUUAUGGCAGCCUUAGCCAACCAAUACAUCAGCUAUGGACUAUCCAAGGUGAUUUUCUUCAUUACUAUCUAUAAGAAAAUCCUGGUUUUCAGUAACACACAUAUUCCUUCUUUGGGAGGUCAAUUUCUUUAAUCCCAAAUAGUUAUCAACACAAGUUUGUACUUUAGGUUCUUGUCUUCCUUUCAGUUUGGACACAGGAUAUCAUAUGUUGCUCUUCAAUAACCUGACAGUAGGGUAGGAAUUAUUUUUACUAUUUUCUAAGUGAAGAAACUGACUCAAUGGCAUGAUUUACCCAGGGCACAUGAAUUUAUAACCAAGUCUUUCAAUACCGCUUUCCCUGCUGCUUCUCCAACAUUCCACUCCUUCUUCUUUUUCCCUAGCAUUAGAAUAUACCCAAGUUUGGGUGUUUUUCCAUCUCAAUUGUUUUUGAAACUUGUUUCUCAUCUUUCUGUAUUCUGUUGGAUUACUUUUUUUUGUUUCUCUUAAUUUUAGACAUUUGUGUUAUCUUUGUCAUGGAUUUCUUAGAAGACACCCUACACUAUUUUUCACUCUGCCUUCUUUAGGACAAGUUCCAGGAGAGAUUUUUUUAUCCAGUUAGUUUCCUAAGAAGCUCAACCUAUACCUAGAGAACCUUUUAGGAAACCCUUUCCCUGCAACUGUGGAUCCUGAACUUUGUAGGAAGCUGAAUACUCAUGGAAUGCCAAACUUAAGGGCCUUUGGCAUCUUUACCCUUUAGAGUAAUUAUGCUACUGUCUUUGGACUUUACAGUAUACGAUCAGGAGUUUGCUUUAUGAGAGGCAUUAAAUCCCCAUGUUAGGAGACUGCAAAAAGAAAAUACAAACACAGUCAUUAAGGGGCCAUUUAAGGGUAGUAGAUUCUGUGUUGUCCCUAGUGGAGGCUUGGAAUUGUAUAGUCAUGGAUCACUAUAGCCCAUCUGCGGGAAUUUUCCAAGUCGGGUAAAAGCCUACAGGAUCCCUGAGCCCAUCAGAUUCAGGAUGAGAAAAGGGCAGAAUCACAACUUAUAGCAUGGCUGAGGCAGGAAAAAUCAAACCCACUACAUCCAUUAGAAGGUGUUUGGGGCUGUCCGGAGACAAGGGCUACUUUGUCCUUGUUGGACCCUCCCUGGUGUGGGGUCGCUGUGACCCAGUGGUAGAGUGCAGGGAGUCUGGGGACAAAUGUUGUUUAUCUGGUGCUGCCACUGAUGCCCUCUGUGGCUUAAACCAGUUCAAUUGACCCUUCUGUCCAAAACACGCAGACACUCGUGCCUUCUCAUCUAGAGAAAUACAAGUGUUAUUGAAUUAAUUCCAAAAUAUUUGUAGGAGCACAAAUGUGAGCUAAAGUUUCACACAUAUUCUUUACUCACUGGCACAUUCAAGGGAAAAAGUGACCUGGUGUUUCAAGUACUUUGUGGUCACUAGACACCAUAAAUGAUAACAACAAUAAUAGCAAGUACUUUUUCAGGCACUAAGUGUGCCAGGCACAGCACUACGCGAUGUUCUAUAUAAUUUACUUCCCAUACAGCCUGUGAGGUAAAGCAAUGUUACUCUCCAAUUUUAUGGAUGAGGAAACUGAGCCUUAGAAAGAUCAACAAACUUUCUCAAUGUCACUCACUGAAAAGGUAGCAGAAUUGGAAUGCAAACCUCAGUCAACCGAACUAAAAAAAACUGAAGCUUUUAAUCAAAGCACCUUGAUUUCCAUAAAGACUGAAUUUUCAAAAUCUGUCCUAUUUCACCAGUUGUCCCAUAAAUGUUGGACUAUCCCAGAAAUGAACAAAACCUGGCAUCCAAACUGCAUUUCUCAGACUGUUUCUCACACUGAAAGCAACAUAAAAGUCCUCUGUAAGAUCACAAGUCCUGGUCCUUGAUAUAGAAAAUGUGGGCACCAUGAUCUAUGCAGAGGAGCAAAUUUUAGAGAAUUAGAGUGGAAGGCAAUGCACUCAAAACCAAAACUAUUUUGAGCAUCUUGUUAUCUUCUGUGAUUUGGGAGGCACUAAAGAGCCUUGUAGUACCUGGAGGUCAUCCUCAUGAAUCUCAGUCCUCAUGAUAUUAUUGAAGUGUAGAAAGGUAGGUUUCCAGCAAGUUUCAACAGAUGGAAAUCCAGAUAAAAGGAACUCACUCUGCUGAUAUUAAUUAUUUAAGCAGUGUUUUCUCGAGGGACUGCCAUGGCCUUAAAAAGGGGCUCUAUGAGCUGUUCUUUUAUAUUAUGAAUAUUUGUAAUACUAUAGCAUCUACAUUUCAAGUGUGGGCUUUAGUGAAAAACUUUGUUAUGCUUUUUUAGCUUUGUUGUUUAGUUUUGUUUGUUGAGCAUCAGAAGAGAUGGGAGUGAUAGGGCCACAGUAGAGAAAAGACUAAAAAUUCAUGAUCCACAGUCUUUUUGCUUCCCAAAUAUGGACCAUGGUUUUGAAGAUUUAAGAACCACAGAUUUAAGAUCAUUUUUUAAUUCCGAUAUACAAAUAUCCUCUUAAAAGAUAAUUGUACCACUUUAAAGAGUUGUUUCUGUUUUCUUUUCUUUUUUUUUUCUUUUCUUUUUUUUUUUUUUUUUUUGAGAUAAAGUCUCACUCUAUCACCCAGGCAAGAGGGCAGUGGUGAGAUCUGGGCUCACUGCAGCCUCCGCCUCCUGGGUUCAAGCUAUUCUCAUGCCACAGGCUCCCCAGUAGCUGGGACUACAGGUGUGUGCCACCACACCCAGCUAAUUUUUGUAUUUUUAGUAGAGACAGGGUUUCACCAUGUUGGCCAGGCUGGUCUUGAACUCCUGACCUCAAGUGAUCCACCUGCCUUGGUCUCCCACAGUGCUGGGAUUAUAGGCGUGAGCCACCGUGCCCGACCCCUCUUUAAAGAGUUGUUUCUAUCAGAUACAUUCAACUCAUAUAAUUUGCCCAAACUGAGAGAAGGGCAGAAAAAGAAGGAAAGG
Long non-coding RNA from Homo sapiens (human), 4192 nucleotides. RefSeq annotates it as PHACTR1 antisense RNA 3. NCBI's taxonomy places the organism in Eukaryota, Metazoa, Chordata, Mammalia, Primates, Hominidae. The transcript has 2 exons. The record is from RefSeq and is a predicted model, not a curated record.